AUCUCUUAUAUUGGCAGGCAGAUUCUUUACCACUGAGCCACUAGGGAAGCCUUCCCCUCCUCUUCUUGGGAUUGCCCCCUUCUUGGUCCCUGACUGACUGCUGUAUCAGAAGCCUUUGCCAGGCUUUUUUUUUUUUUUUCAGCUCCUGGAGAAACAUUUGCUGCCUCGUGUGUUCUGCCUAUAGCAAAGGGCCCAAGUGUGGGCACACGAACAUAUGGAGUCUUAAAUGGAGCAUCUGAGACCACCCUUCUUGGGAAAAGACUAUAGCCUUUUGGUGGAGUGCAGAAGGUUGCUGAGUACUUGCCCAGAUCACCAAGAACGUGGAAUCCAUUUUGUGGAGACAGAUACUUUUAAUCAAAAACUGGAAGCAGAUGGAAUUUAUACAAUGAGGAAAGCAGACAGAGGAAGUGGAUCGGAAUGGUGACCACAGCUGCAGUCCGGCAGUGAGUUCCGGCAGAUCCCAACAGAAGGUGCUGAACUCCUUGGACUAGAUUAAGAGAAGAGAAAACUGCUUUGGAGUCUCAGAAAACCUGGCUUUGAAUGUGGGCGCUGCUAUUUGUGAAUUAUAUAAAUUUGAGCAAGUUACUUCUUUGGAGACUCAGUUACUUCAUCUAUGAACUGGGCACAAGAUUUUUGUGAAUUUUUGGAG
This 649-nucleotide long non-coding RNA is filed under the name Capra hircus (goat). Its description in RNAcentral is "lncRNA (ENSCHIG00000001398.1)". The record is from RNAcentral. Lineage: Eukaryota; Metazoa; Chordata; Mammalia; Artiodactyla; Bovidae.